RNAcentral lists this ribosomal RNA (253 nucleotides) under uncultured bacterium. RNAcentral describes it as "partial 16S ribosomal RNA". It matches the Rfam family "Bacterial small subunit ribosomal RNA", at positions 524 to 776 of the family's 1533-position model. The record is from RNAcentral.
UACGUAGGGUGCGAGCGUUAAUCGGAAUUACUGGGCGUAAAGCGUGCGCAGGCGGUUCGUUAAGUUCGUCGUGAAAGCCCCGGGCUCAACCUGGGAAUGGCGAUGGAAACUGGCGGGCUGGAGUGCGGCAGAGGGGGGUGGAAUUCCACGUGUAGCAGUGAAAUGCGUAGAGAUGUGGAGGAACACCGAUGGUGAAGGCAGCCCCCUGGGCCGACACUGACGCUCAGGCACGAAAGCGUGGGGAGCAAACAGG